This 246-nucleotide non-coding RNA is filed under the name Enterococcus rivorum. RNAcentral's name for it is "T-box sequence". It matches the Rfam family "T-box leader". From Rfam's summary of the family: Uncharged tRNA acts as the effector for transcription antitermination of genes in the T-box leader family. T-boxes are found upstream of many aminoacyl-tRNA synthetase genes and some amino acid biosynthetic genes usually in Gram-positive bacteria. Lineage: Bacteria; Bacillati; Bacillota; Bacilli; Lactobacillales; Enterococcaceae. The record is from RNAcentral.
AGUAAAGCUUUGAAAAGAAGAGUACAUGUCAAGAACGUUUGCAGAGAACCCUGUUUGCUGAAAAGGGGUAACAUGAUUGAGGUGGAAGAUGGUCUUUGAGCAGAAUAGGUGAGCGUAAGUAAACUUAUUACGGAAGUGCCCGUUACAGCACCACAGUAUGCGAGAUUCAAGUACUGGAUAAGACUAUUAUUGUGAAAUGAUAGUGAAUCAAGGUGGUAUCACGAAAGUCAAGCUUUCGUCCUUUCG